GGCUCACGUAGUACACGGAGCGCGCGCCCUGGCGGUUGCUCAAAGCUACCGCUUGGGCCGCAGGGACCACACUCCAGGCGGUGUGCAGCGGUCCAACUUGGUGCUAGGGCUCUCGCAAGCUUUAGGGCUGCGACCAUGUUCGCAUGGGCCAAGCGGGGUUUCAACAUAGAGUUCUUGGUGGCCAAGAGCGGUGGCACUGGGGGGAGUCCUGGAAGCUGGGGCUCGGGCUUCCAUCUUCUGGCUGUGGCUGCCUAAGAAUAACUGCUCAGGCCCAAGGAGCUCAACUACCCUCACCCCAGUGUGCCCAAAAUGGCUUUGGUGAGUGGCUUCCCAUCCACUGCCUCUGCCUGAGCCAGUCGCUUGCUCUAGGGAGGUCCCUAGCUGGUGUUCCCCCAGGCCAUGAACCGCUGAGUACUGAUGAUGUAUCGGGCUCACCAACUGGGCUCCUCCUUGCUUCAACCCCCUCACUUCAGCACCCAGCAUCCGGACCCUCUCCAUUUCUACUCCUGGGUGCUUCGGAAUUGCUUCUUUGGUCACUGUCUCCAGGCCCAGACAAAUCUCAUUAAGGACAGGAGGACCAGGAACAGCAGUGUGUCUAUGCAACUUCUUCCAGGGACAUUCCCAGGCAGCCCAGGCCAUCUUCAGUGUUCCAUGAAUCCCAGUUUAAGAAAGAGCACGUGCGACCUGCCUGACUGGAAUUUGUUUGUGUACAAGAAGAGACGGGGACAGAGACACAGACAGAACCUCACAGUGCAUGGACGUCAAGGAGUCAUCAGGGUGCGAGGCCAGAUCUCCAACCCAGGCUGGCCAGAGUCUCCGGGAGGUCCUCGUUGGUUUUGUCUGAUUAGCUAGCCUGUUCCAGAGGCUGAAGCCAGCACUGAAUCCAUGGAAUGAACUUCCCAGAGUUGUGCAUUAUGGGUUGGGGAACAUGGGGUCUAAUGGUGCCCUUCCUGCCUCUGAAGAGGGAUAGGACACUCCUCUCUUCUCAAAUUAGACAGGAAAAAAAUGUCUGUCCUAAGAGAGCUUAGUGUUGCUCAGGGGACAGAGUAGAUAAGAAAGAGGAAUGUGUUUCCCAGGGGCAGAAUACUACUGGGACAGGGUGUUGAACUCAGCAGAUAUCCCAGCAGGGUGACUAUGCCAGGAACCUUGUUGUCCUGUGUUCAAAUUAGGAGAGAACGUUGGUCGGAGGGACCAUCCAUGUCAGUCACACGGGCUUCUGUGUGCCUCAGGCUGUGACAGAUGUUGGCACAGUCUAGGGAGAAAGAACACAGGAGAUGACAUCUUACCAAUGUGACAGUGGGAGGGACAGGGAAAGCUUCCCAGAAGCUCUCACAGGAUGUGGGAGGCUGCUUACCAGGGCAAGAGCAAGUAAUGUGCAAAUACUCCGAGAAAUGCAAGCAGCUUUCUGAGUUGUCCAGUUGCGUGCAGACUCCAGGAAGAGAGAUGAAGUUGUCAGGAGACAGGGCCUCAGCAGGUUGCUGCCCCAUCAUGAGGGGCUCAAGUUUCAGCCUGGUUAUAAUAGGCAUUACUGGCUUAUGGUGUGGCAGGUGGUGGUGAGUGUGGACUUACGUUGUUAAUGUGAAAUGUGAAUGUUGGCCUUGAAGGAACAAGCUUAGAGAGGCAGGCAGUGGGUUAUUAGAGGGCAGAUUUGGUGGAGAGAGAGGGCACAGCUGCCCCUGCAGUCACUCCACAGCUGUGGUUUUCAUGUGUUUGCUCUGAGGUGGGUCUGAGGCCUCAAGCAAUGUGACCUGUGAUGGGAUGGGGGUGCGGGAGCAGGGGAGGGCAUGUAUAACGUUGGCAGGAGACUGCCCGAGUCCCACAUGGGCACUUGCAGGCCUCAUUCUCACCCUGGGAACCCGUUUUGGGGCAGUCAGGACAGGCUGACUAGGGAGACUUCUCUGGGGAGAGAAGGCUACCUCCUGAACAAGACCAGGUUUCCUGCAAGAAAUGGAGCAAAUGACAUUACCUUCCCAUAACACAUGAGGAGACAUGUGUGACUGUUCUUUGCUUCCUGUUUUCCCAGGCUGGGGGAGAGAGCAUAGGGUACUGUUCCCCAUAGAGUUUAGGGGCACCUUAGCCUUCCAGCCCUCUUUCCUGAGCAAGGCAUGGUAAAAUCUACCCCUUGUUGUCCGAGAUUUUACCUGGAGAGAUCUAUGCUGGGGUGGAUAGCUCUUCCGAAGGGCUGGCUAUCUAGUUUGCAGCCAGCGCAACCCCAGCACACGGUUCACAAGCCAUGGAGCUGGGGCAGGUCCUCUUCUCGACUUCAAAGCAGAAAGACACGGGAAAGAGGCUUUUCAUGUCUUUGAAACACACAGGACUUACAUGACUGACUGUGCAGUGCUAUAGCACCCCACUGGUUCUUCAAGGACUCACUGCUUCCUUUGGCCAAGGUCCCACCCUCACUUCUCCCUGCUUUGAUCAGCAUCUCUGCAGUCUGCUUCUGGCUCUACAAGAGUGAGGUGGCUCUUUAGGGGUUUCUAUGGAAUUGGUUUUUUCAAAGUCUGAAGUGACAGGCUAAAUUCCCAAGUGUGCUACAAGUGGGCACACUCAUCAUUUGUCACAAAAGAGAGGGAGUACGUAUAAAAUGAAUGAGGACAUGCACCUUCCUGGUCCUGUGGGUGACUCCACAGUCCCCUUCCCUUGGAGUCAGGUUCUUACACGAGGCUUGGCUUCUCUUCAGUAGCGGCAGGCAGCAGCAGCACAGGUUUUUGAUACAGUUCAUGAUUCUUUCUUUCCCCCUUCCAGAGGUGAUGCUGUCACCAGGGGAGGCUGGACCUGCCAUCUCGUGCUGGCCAUUAGUAAUGGUCUCUUCCUGAAUGAUGGGCAUUUCCUGACUAUUGGCCAGAUCCUGAAUGAUGGCCUCUUCCUGUGUGAGGGCCUCUUCCUGUGUGAGGGUCUCUUCCUGUAUGAGGGUCUCUUUCUCCAAGGCAUCCCAGAGGAGGAGCCUGAGGCUUAUGCUCCUAGUUGCCUGCAGGGAUGCCCAGAGCUCGUCUUGUGGAGGGCAUAUUCCUGUCUUUGUCAGUUGUAGAUUCAUUGUCUGGUCAGAAGAGGAAGUAUAUAGAAAUGGAGACACGGCAGGUUCAGUCAAGCUACCAUAGAAGACAAGUUUGGACUGCGAAAAUCUCAACUGAUUUCCAGUCUGCUUCUCAUGAGGGAGUCAGUCACAGGACAGUCCAUGUGGGAUAGUUAUGGACGGUGCGUCCUCUUUGGCUGGCAGCACACAGCAUGUCUUCUGCCCUCCUGACAGGAAAUCUCCUCCCCCUCCUCCUCCUCCUCCUCCUCCUCCUUCUCCUCCUCCUCCUCCUCCUCCUCCUCCUCCUCCUCCUCCUCUUCCUUUAGCUUAGAUGAAGGUGAAAACAAGGUGUAGAAUGAAGAGCCUCAGAAGCUCUCCUUAGGAAAGCAGGGAAGGAGUGAAGGUCUUCCCGGCCAGGCUGCAUGCAUUUUAAGGCUUUCAUUUAGUGGUGGGAGCGCUCUCUCCUGGGUGACUGGUGUUGUGGAAUCAGAUAGGUUUCUAUCACCUCAUUGAAUAUUUGCUCUCAGAGACUCUAUGAUUUCUUCAUGCUUAUACCCCAUGUCUUUCAUGGUUGGGCUAUGCUAGGGCUCCAGUUGCCUGGGAAACUCUGUGUGGAAAUAGGUGGUAAACCUGCCUCACUGUCCCUGUUCAUGGGGUGCCUCAUGAUGAUGUGUAUGGUGGGGCUCGUGAUGGGAUUGAUCAUCAACAGUUCAGCGAUGUCUUUGAAAAUGUUGGUGGAAAGAUUAGGAAGAAUGCUGAAGCUUGAGCUGACCUGCUGCCUUUUCUCCAUAAAGUCCUGCCUUGGAAAGGAAAGCUCGUGGCCACCAUGAGGAAGAGGAGGAUACCUAAACUCCAGAUAUAGACUGGGCAGCACUCAUAUUCCUCCACAUGUAGGAUUUCCAGGGCACAGUAGGGCAGCGUGUCACAGAAAUCCACCUGCUUUUGCCAGGAAUCACUUUAGCAGUCAGGCCAGAAUCCUACAGCUUGGUGUUCUUCCUGCAGUUGAUCAAAAUGUUGCUGCUCAGCCUUUAUGUCUCUAUGGACAAUGUCAUGGUAGUGCUGUGCCACAUGUAGUAUCUGGGCAAACGCCCUUCAUCUAAUUCUCCUCUAAAUACCUUCAUUCUUGUAUGCAGUCUAAUAGCUCUCUCUUGAGGCUUGCUCCAUCACUAGGUAGGUGCUCUUUCUCCUCUAGACCACGUGAAACAGAUUGAUAACGUUAGAAUUGGUAAGGGAUUUCAUAAUGCUGACCUCGCUAUUAAUACUAUUGAUAAGUGAGGUGUACUUCAUGUUCCUGGGAAAUUUUACACUUGUCAGUGUUGGUACAUGGUAGGCCAUUUUGACCACUGAAGUGUUUCCUUUGCACAGUGUUUCCUGUCUGCUGACGUCUUUGUUUUUAGUUAAGACGUGUUUUAUAUCCUUCCAAGUUCAUCUGCUUACACAUGAGUCCCUCAUACACAUAAGAGGCUGUCCAAGCCAGGAUGAAAUGGCCUUAGUCAAACAAAGAUAUUGGGUACCAUAAACUCACCAUGUAUGAUUUGUGGUCUUUAAUUUCCUGAAAUUGUUCAUGCUUUGUGUUGCUUGCCUUUAAAAAGGCACUGAGAAAAUACAGUGCUGCCAUGGUAUUCACCAGCAGCCCCCUCAUAUUCGUCUCUUGCAUGUUCUUUCUGCCUUUCCAAUAAAACAUCCGCACUUCUCCAGUCAUGGUUCCCAAGUUGACUGACAGGCCAGCUCCUGGCAUGGGGGGGGGGUCCUGCUGUGUGAACAUGCCAGAAGGGUCUAGAUGUGUCCUUCAUACAGACUUAGGGAAGUGAGCAAUGGGUCUCGCCAGUCACCAGAGAGGAGGCACCCCAGGGUGACAGCUCUCCAAUAGGAACUACAUCUCAGUGACCUGGUGUGCAACCGAGAUGGUCAUGGGACCAGCAGCUCUGGGACAGCAUGCUGGAACAUUAGGUGGAGGAUCCCUCCAAGCCUUUGUCUGGGGCCAGGGGAGGGAGGGGUUAAAUGAGGGAGAAUUAAGUAGAGGAAAGGUAGUCAUCCUUGCCCUGUUUCCCUGUCUUCCUUCUGUAGUUUGGAAGCAGAGAGAGGUGCUGGGCAUCUGAGACAGUGUAGACCCCGCCCUAGGUGCUCUGAGUCACCUUCCUAGUUAUUCUCACCCUGUCUCUCUUGCCUCUUAGGAAACAGCACCUUCAGACAUAACCCUAGCUGGAGUUAGGAAGGUGACCAUAAUUCUUAGUGAAUUUUAAUCUUAGUAAAGCAGUGAGAAGAGAAAUUAUUUUUCUUAUUUGGG
This 5300-nucleotide long non-coding RNA is filed under the name Rattus norvegicus (Norway rat). RNAcentral describes it as "long non-coding RNA NONRATT033133". Lineage: Eukaryota; Metazoa; Chordata; Mammalia; Rodentia; Muridae. The record is from RNAcentral.